GAACGCUAGCUACAGGCUUAACACAUGCAAGUCGAGGGGCAGCAUGGUCUUAGCUUGCUAAGGCCGAUGGCGACCGGCGCACGGGUGAGUAACACGUAUCCAACCUGCCGUCUACUCUUGGACAGCCUUCCGAAAGGAAGAUUAAUACAAGAUGGCAUCAUGAGUCCACAUGUUCACAUGAUUAAAGGUAUUCCGGUAGACGAUGGGGAUGCGUUCCAUUAGAUAGUAGGCGGGGUAACGGCCCACCUAGUCUUCGAUGGAUAGGGGUUCUGAGAGGAAGGUCCCCCACAUUGGAACUGAGACACGGUCCAAACUCCUACGGGAGGCAGCAGUGAGGAAUAUUGGUCAAUGGGCGAGAGCCUGAACCAGCCAAGUAGCGUGAAGGAUGACUGCCCUAUGGGUUGUAAACUUCUUUUAUAAAGGAAUAAAGUCGGGUAUGCAUACCCGUUUGCAUGUACUUUAUGAAUAAGGAUCGGCUAACUCCGUGCCAGCAGCCGCGGUAAUACGGAGGAUCCGAGCGUUAUCCGGAUUUAUUGGGUUUAAAGGGAGCGUAGAUGGAUGUUUAAGUCAGUUGUGAAAGUUUGCGGCUCAACCGUAAAAUUGCAGUUGAUACUGGAUAUCUUGAGUGCAGUUGAGGCAGGCGGAAUUCGUGGUGUAGCGGUGAAAUGCUUAGAUAUCACGAAGAACUCCGAUUGCGAAGGCAGCCUGCUAAGCUGCAACUGACAUUGAGGCUCGAAAGUGUGGGUAUCAAACAGGAUUAGAUACCCUGGUAGUCCACACGGUAAACGAUGAAUACUCGCUGUUUGCGAUAUACAGCAAGCGGCCAAGCGAAAGCGUUAAGUAUUCCACCUGGGGAGUACGCCGGCAACGGUGAAACUCAAAGGAAUUGACGGGGGCCCGCACAAGCGGAGGAACAUGUGGUUUAAUUCGAUGAUACGCGAGGAACCUUACCCGGGCUUAAAUUGCAGAUGAAUUACGGUGAAAGCCGUAAGCCGCAAGGCAUCUGUGAAGGUGCUGCAUGGUUGUCGUCAGCUCGUGCCGUGAGGUGUCGGCUUAAGUGCCAUAACGAGCGCAACCCUUGUUGUCAGUUACUAACAGGUCAUGCUGAGGACUCUGACAAGACUGCCAUCGUAAGAUGUGAGGAAGGUGGGGAUGACGUCAAAUCAGCACGGCCCUUACGUCCGGGGCUACACACGUGUUACAAUGGGGGGUACAGAGGGCCGCUACCACGCGAGUGGAUGCCAAUCCCAAAAACCUCUCUCAGUUCGGACUGGAGUCUGCAACCCGACUCCACGAAGCUGGAUUCGCUAGUAAUCGCGCAUCAGCCACGGCGCGGUGAAUACGUUCCCGGGCCUUGUACACACCGCCCGUCAAGCCAUGGGAGCCGGGGGUACCUGAAGUGCGUAACCGCGAGGAGCGCCCUAGGGUAAAACUGGUGAAAG
This 1442-nucleotide ribosomal RNA is filed under the name uncultured organism. Its description in RNAcentral is "SSU rRNA". It matches the Rfam family "Bacterial small subunit ribosomal RNA". The record is from RNAcentral.